UACGAAGGGUGCAAGCGUUACUCGGAAUUACUGGGCGUAAAGGGCGUGCAGGCGGUUUGUUAAGUGCAGGGUGAAAGCUCCCGGCUCAACUGGGAGAGGUCCUUGCAUACUGGCGAACUCGAGGGAGGCAGAGGAAAGUGGAAUUCCCGGUGUAGUGGUGAUAUGCGUAGAUAUCGGGAGGAACACCUGUGGCGAAGGCGGCUUUCUGGGCCUUACCUGACGCUGAGACGCGAAAGCGUGGGGAGCGAACCGG
This 253-nucleotide ribosomal RNA is filed under the name uncultured bacterium. RNAcentral describes it as "partial 16S ribosomal RNA". It matches the Rfam family "Bacterial small subunit ribosomal RNA", at positions 524 to 776 of the family's 1533-position model. The record is from RNAcentral.